GAGUUUGAUCAUGGCUCAGAUUGAACGCUGGCGGCAGGCCUAACACAUGCAAGUCGAGCGGCAGCGCGGGGGCAACCCUGGCGGCGAGCGGCGAACGGGUGAGUAAUACAUCGGAACGUGUCCUGUCGUGGGGGAUAACCAGUCGAAAGAUUGGCUAAUACCGCAUGACCUCGUAAGAGAAAAGCGGGGGACCGUAAGGCCUCGCGCGACUGGAGCGGCCGAUGUCGGAUUAGCUAGUUGGCGGGGUAAAAGCCCACCAAGGCGACGAUCCGUAGCUGGUUUGAGAGAACGACCAGCCACACUGGGACUGAGACACGGCCCAGACUCCUACGGGAGGCAGCAGUGGGGAAUUUUGGACAAUGGGGGCAACCCUGAUCCAGCCAUGCCGCGUGUGUGAAGAAGGCC
RNAcentral lists this ribosomal RNA (405 nucleotides) under uncultured beta proteobacterium. Its description in RNAcentral is "bacterial SSU rRNA". It matches the Rfam family "Bacterial small subunit ribosomal RNA", at positions 9 to 416 of the family's 1533-position model. The record is from RNAcentral. Lineage: Bacteria; Pseudomonadati; Pseudomonadota; Betaproteobacteria.